This 661-nucleotide ribosomal RNA is filed under the name uncultured bacterium. Its description in RNAcentral is "bacterial SSU rRNA". It matches the Rfam family "Bacterial small subunit ribosomal RNA", at positions 92 to 771 of the family's 1533-position model. The record is from RNAcentral.
UUAGUGGCGCACGGGUGAGUAACACGUAGGCAACCUACCCUUCAGUGGGGGACAACAGAGGGAAACUUCUGCUAAUACCGCAUACGGCCUUGUACUGGGAUGUACGAGGAGAAAGGAUUUAUUCGCUGAGGGAUGGGCCUGCGGCCUAUCAGGUAGUUGGUGGGGUAAAGGCCUACCAAGCCUGCGACGGGUAGCCGGACUGAGAGGUCGACCGGCCACACUGGAACUGAGACACGGUCCAGACUCCUACGGGAGGCAGCAGUGGGGAAUAUUGCACAAUGGGGGAAACCCUGAUGCAGCGACGCCGCGUGGAGGAUGACGGCCUUCGGGUUGUAAACUCCUUUUGUCAGGGACAAUGGUGAUGGUACCUGACGAAUAAGCCACGGCUAACUCUGUGCCAGCAGCCGCGGUAAGACAGAGGUGGCGAGCGUUGUUCGGAAUUACUGGGCUUAAAGGGCGCGUAGGCGGUGGUGUAAGUCUGGGGUGGAAUGCUACAGCUCAACUGUAGAGCUGCCUUGGAAACUGCAUUACUUGAGUCGGUGAGGGGAAGGCGGAAUUCCUGGUGUAGCGGUGAAAUGCGUAGAUAUCAGGAGGAAGGUCUGUGGCGAAGGCGGCCUUCUGGCACUUGACUGACGCUGAGGCGCGAAAACGUGGGGAGCAA